This 640-nucleotide ribosomal RNA is filed under the name Edwardsiella tarda. Its description in RNAcentral is "bacterial SSU rRNA". It matches the Rfam family "Bacterial small subunit ribosomal RNA", at positions 797 to 1435 of the family's 1533-position model. The record is from RNAcentral. Lineage: Bacteria; Pseudomonadati; Pseudomonadota; Gammaproteobacteria; Enterobacterales; Hafniaceae.
GCGCUUUUAAAGAAUGGUCGAUUUGGAGGUUGUGCCCUUGAGGCGUGGCUUCCGAAGCUAACGCGUUAAAUCGACCGCCUGGGGAGUACGGCCGCAAGGUUAAAACUCAAAUGAAUUGACGGGGGCCCGCACAAGCGGUGGAGCAUGUGGUUUAAUUCGAUGCAACGCGAAGAACCUUACCUACUCUUGACAUCCAGCGAAUCCUGUAGAGAUACGGGAGUGCCUUCGGGAACGCUGAGACAGGUGCUGCAUGGCUGUCGUCAGCUCGUGUUGUGAAAUGUUGGGUUAAGUCCCGCAACGAGCGCAACCCUUAUCCUUUGUUGCCAGCGGUUCGGCCGGGAACUCAAAGGAGACUGCCAGUGAUAAACUGGAGGAAGGUGGGGAUGACGUCAAGUCAUCAUGGCCCUUACGAGUAGGGCUACACACGUGCUACAAUGGCGUAUACAAAGAGAAGCGAACUCGCGAGAGCAAGCGGACCUCAUAAAGUACGUCGUAGUCCGGAUUGGAGUCUGCAACUCGACUCCAUGAAGUCGGAAUCGCUAGUAAUCGUGGAUCAGAAUGCCACGGUGAAUACGUUCCCGGGCCUUGUACACACCGCCCGUCACACCAUGGGAGUGGGUUGCAAAAGAAGUAGGUAGCU